This is a small nuclear RNA of Stegostoma tigrinum, 117 nucleotides long. RefSeq annotates it as U5 spliceosomal RNA. Lineage: Eukaryota; Metazoa; Chordata; Chondrichthyes; Orectolobiformes; Stegostomatidae. The transcript has a single exon. The record is from RefSeq and is a predicted model, not a curated record.
AUGUUCUAGUUUCUUUUCAAAUUGUAUAAAUCUUUUGCCUUUUACUAAAGAUUUCUGUGGAGAGGAACACUCAGAGUUCUCACUAAUUUUUUUGUGGGGCUAUGCUCUAAAUGACAA